This 440-nucleotide ribosomal RNA is filed under the name uncultured bacterium. Its description in RNAcentral is "partial 16S ribosomal RNA". It matches the Rfam family "Bacterial small subunit ribosomal RNA", at positions 338 to 795 of the family's 1533-position model. The record is from RNAcentral.
CCUACGGGAGGCAGCAGUAGGGAAUAUUGCUCAAUGGGGGAAACCCUGAAGCAGCAACGCCGCGUGGAGGAUGAAGGUUCUCGGAUUGUAAACUCCUUUUGUUAGAGAAGAUAAUGACGGUAUCUAACGAAUAAGCACCGGCUAACUCCGUGCCAGCAGCCGCGGUAAUACGGAGGGUGCAAGCGUUACUCGGAAUCACUGGGCGUAAAGAGCGCGUAGGCGGGAUAGCAAGUCAGAUGUGAAAUCCUAUGGCUUAACCAUAGAACUGCAGUUGAAACUGUUAUUCUAGAGUAUGGGAGGGGUAGGUGGAAUUCUUGGUGUAGGGGUAAAAUCCGUAGAGAUCAAGAGGAAUACUCAUUGCGAAGGCGACCUGCUAGAACAUAACUGACGCUGAUGCGCGAAGGCGUGGGGAGCGAACGGGAUUAGAUACCCUGGUAGUC